RNAcentral lists this ribosomal RNA (468 nucleotides) under uncultured bacterium. Its description in RNAcentral is "partial 16S ribosomal RNA". It matches the Rfam family "Bacterial small subunit ribosomal RNA", at positions 28 to 507 of the family's 1533-position model. The record is from RNAcentral.
GACGAACGCUGGCGGCGUGCUUAACACAUGCAAGUCGAACGGAAAGGCCCUGCCGUUGUGGGAUGCUCGAGUGACGAACGGGUGAGUAACACGUGAGUAACCUGCCCUUGACUUUAGGAUAACUUAAGGAUACUGGGGACAAUACCGGAUCGGAGCUCCAGAUGCAUGGUGGGGGUUGGAAAGUUUCGGUGGAUGGGGAUGGACUCGCGGCUUAUCACCUUGUUGGUGGGGUAGUGGCAUACCAAGGCCUUGACGGGUAGUCGGCCUGCGAGGGUGGCCGGCCACAUUGGGACUGAGAUAGGGCCCAGACGCCUACGUGAGGCAACAGUGGGGAAUAUUGCACAAUGGGCGGAAGCCUGAUGCAGCAACGCCGCGUGCGGGAUGACGGCCUUCGGGUUGUAAACCGCUUUCGCCUAUGACGAAGCGUGAGUGACGGUAAUGGGUAAAGAAGCACCGGCUAACUACGUG